CCAGACUCCUACGGGAGGCAGCAGUGGGGAAUAUUGCACAAUGGGGGAAACCCUGAUGCAGCGACGCCGCGUGAAGGAAGAAGUAUCUCGGUAUGUAAACUUCUAUCAGCAGGGAAGAAAACAGACGGUACCUGACUAAGAAGCCCCGGCUAACUACGUGCCAGCAGCCGCGGUAAUACGUAGGGGGCAAGCGUUAUCCGGAUUUACUGGGUGUAAAGGGCGUGUAGCCGGGCCGGCAAGUCAGAUGUGAAAUCCCAAGGCUCAACCUUGGAACUGCAUUUGAAACUGUUGGUCUUGAGUAUCGGAGAGGCAGGCGGAAUUCCUAGUGUAGCGGUGAAAUGCGUAGAUAUUAGGAGGAACACCGGCGGCGAAGGCGGCCUGCUGGACCGUAACUGACGUUGAGGCUCGAAAGCGUGGGGAGCAAACAGGAUUAGAUACCCUCGUAAC
RNAcentral lists this ribosomal RNA (447 nucleotides) under uncultured bacterium. Its description in RNAcentral is "bacterial SSU rRNA". It matches the Rfam family "Bacterial small subunit ribosomal RNA", at positions 331 to 794 of the family's 1533-position model. The record is from RNAcentral.